Molecule: ribosomal RNA, 177 nt
Filed under: uncultured bacterium
Lineage: Bacteria
Description: partial 16S ribosomal RNA
Rfam family: Bacterial small subunit ribosomal RNA
Source: RNAcentral
UAGUGAUUCCUACGGGAGGCAGCAGUGGGGAAUAUUGGACAAUGGGCGAAAGCCUGAUCCAGCAAUGCCGCGUGAGUGAUGAAGGCCUUAGGGUUGUAAAGCUCUUUUACCCGAGAUGAUAAUGACAGUAUCGGGAGAAUAAGCUCCGGCUAACUCCGUGCCAGCAGCCGCGGUAAU